Molecule: ribosomal RNA, 249 nt
Filed under: uncultured Acidimicrobiales bacterium
Lineage: Bacteria; Bacillati; Actinomycetota; Acidimicrobiia; Acidimicrobiales
Description: partial 16S ribosomal RNA
Rfam family: Bacterial small subunit ribosomal RNA
Source: RNAcentral
UGGGGAAUAUUGCACAAUGGGCGAAAGCCUGAUGCAGCAACGCCGCGUGCGGGAAGAAGGCCUUAGGGUUGUAAACCGCUUUCAGCAGGGAAGAAAAUGACGGUACCUGCAGAAGAAGGUGCGGCCAACUACGUGCCAGCAGCCGCGGUGACACGUAGGCACCAAGCGUUGUCCGGAUUUAUUGGGCGUAACGAGCUCGUAGGCGGUUCGGUAAGUCGGGUGUGAAAACCCUGGGCUCAACCCCGAGAC